Molecule: long non-coding RNA, 1183 nt
Organism: Poecile atricapillus (Black-capped chickadee)
Lineage: Eukaryota; Metazoa; Chordata; Aves; Passeriformes; Paridae
Exons: 4
Source: RefSeq, a predicted model, not a curated record
AGGAGGCUCCUGCCUACUGUAGUUUCUUCCUUACAGUUCGUCUGACUUCAUUCCUUCGUGUACCAGAGAGCGCUUUGGCAUUCAAGGGUAUUUGUCUUAUUUUUUUCUCACCCUUCACAAAAGCUGUCCUCUGCUUAACAUGCACAUUUUUUCCUUCGGAGCCAUUUUCCUCUGUAGGCUCUCUGAGCUGGCCAGCUGCCAAACAGUAGGGUGAGCUGCAUGAAAAAGCCUUGAUCAUUGACAGGCUGUCUUACAAUUUCUUUCUUGUAUUCAAGAUGCAGAUGGAUGUUAUUAGAAAGGUUUUUACUUCGAAGUGCGCGGCUUGUCCACAUGGCUGAGAUUAGUGCUCAAUACUCAUAUAAUGCUUUUCAUCCUCAAAAGGGCUUUACAAGCUCCAGCCCCCAAAACACCCCCACAAGAUUAUGUUUUUUUCCCCCACUGAGUGAAUACUUGCAUAGUUUUGUUGAUUGAAUGAAGGACUGCAGCAUCUCAGGAAAGAUGUAACUGAACUCUGGUGUGUCAGAAUACUUGGACAUUCCAUCUUAUCUCCCUCUUGUUUCCAGGAAAGGUAUCAGGCCCAAAAAGUACUCUGGAGAAAAGGGAAAAGUUUGAUGGUUUGAUGACUACUACACAGUGUUUCAGAAGGAGAAGCUGGGGCAGAUGUUGACAUGAGAUCUGGAGCACACCUUCCCAGUGGGGGUACCAGGAUAGAAGACCUCCCAUCAUCACUUUUACUCCUGAGGGAUGAGGGGCAGACCUGUAUCGUGGUCACAAGUGCAGAGGAAGUUUGUGUAGAUGUUCCUGAACUUCAGAAAUACACGCUCGACCUUCAAGAGUUUCUGCUAAUUUGUUCAGUGUUCACACAGUGUGUAGCACAGGCCUCCUGCUAUGCCUCGUGAGUGCUGCUGCAGUACAGCCACCUUUCCUUUUGUUUGGGCACCUUUAUCAGUACAGCUGAAGGGAACACUGUGUGGACUGUGAAUUCCUCUCCAAGAUCAUGUAAAUUCUUGGACAGUACAUGCUGUUGCUCCUAUUAUUAAUCUAACUAGCUAAAGCUGGUUUGCAUACAUCUGCAGCUACAGCAGAAGUUUAAUGAUAAAUAUUACCAAAUGUAGCCAUGCAAAUAGUGGCAAAUAUUGAAUAAAUGCAUGAAAUGCAUUUAGUAAGUAAAAAAAUCUUCUGU